Molecule: long non-coding RNA, 363 nt
Organism: Nerophis ophidion (straightnose pipefish)
Lineage: Eukaryota; Metazoa; Chordata; Actinopteri; Syngnathiformes; Syngnathidae
Exons: 2
Source: RefSeq, a predicted model, not a curated record
UUGUGUAUAUCCAGCACUUGCGUCACGCCUCACACCGAGAUUUCUCCCUCGAUUGACUCAGCAGCGGCGGAAAUGACCAUAUUUGACGCUGUGACGUGGCAGGCACAUCCAAACUUGGUGGGGAAAACGGGCGUCCGUUUAAAUAUGCAUAAAAGGGGAGAAGGAGGAGCGAUCGGGGCAGAAGGAGUAGGAGAACUAGCAACAGAACCUGAAGACCGAGAAUGACCGACAGCGAGUCGACGAGAGCGACGAAGACGUGGCCAACUGAAGGCGAGAGAGGAGCGAGCAGGAUCGGAGGCGCUGAAAAGCGAUCCGAGCAAAAGAUGGAAACUUUAUUGAAAAAUAAAACAAGAGUCAAACCUG